This 256-nucleotide ribosomal RNA is filed under the name uncultured archaeon. Its description in RNAcentral is "partial 16S ribosomal RNA". It matches the Rfam family "Bacterial small subunit ribosomal RNA", at positions 521 to 776 of the family's 1533-position model. The record is from RNAcentral.
UAAUACAGAGGGUGCAAGCGUUAAUCGGAAUUACUGGGCGUAAAGCGAGCGUAGGUGGCUUGAUAAGUCAGAUGUGAAAUCCCCGGGCUUAACCUGGGAACUGCAUCUGAUACUGUUAGGCUAGAAUAGGUGAGAGGAAGGUAGAAUUCCAGGUGUAGCGGUGAAAUGCGUAGAGAUCUGGAGGAAUACCGAUGGCGAAGGCAGCCUUCUGGCAUCAUAUUGACACUGAGGUUCGAAAGCGUGGGUAGCAAACAGG